GAGAUAAUGACCAGAGGAAGCAAUUUUGGUACAUAUAUAUAUAUAUAUGUGUGUGUGUGUGUAUGUGUAUAUAUAUAUAUAUAUAUACAUACAAUCAACUAUAGG
RNAcentral lists this microRNA precursor (105 nucleotides) under Pelodiscus sinensis (Chinese soft-shelled turtle). RNAcentral describes it as "miRNA (ENSPSIG00000019857.1)". Lineage: Eukaryota; Metazoa; Chordata; Testudines; Trionychidae. The record is from RNAcentral.